Molecule: long non-coding RNA, 603 nt
Organism: Betta splendens (Siamese fighting fish)
Lineage: Eukaryota; Metazoa; Chordata; Actinopteri; Anabantiformes; Osphronemidae
Exons: 4
Source: RefSeq, a predicted model, not a curated record
AAGAGACAACAGCAGCAGAUGAUCCACAGACGUCUCCAAGUCCUGGCUCCAACAGGCUCCUUCCUGUGUUAACAGCUGUCUUCACCUUUACGUUUGUGGUUGUGCUGCUGCUAGUGGUCGGACUUGUACAGUGUCGGAAACACAGAGGUCCAGAGGAAAACGCAGCUGAUCCAAACGAUGUGACUUAUUCUACUGUCACAGCAAAGAGAAAGAGGGAAGUUUCCAGGUCAACAAACGUUUCAGAUCCAAACAAGUCAACAUAUGCUGUUAUCGUCCCGAGGAAGGAAUGAGCUUCUGUGGUCCCACAGAACAAACUCCUCAAAUUAAACUGUUUGCUACUAUAUACAUUGUAACAUAAAUACAUAUAUACAUAAUGUACUAUCUACAUAGUACAUUGUAUGGCACCUUUACAGCAUGUCUGGUUGGGAGUUACAAUGGAGGCCUCUGUUUAUUAUAUUCAAAUGACUGAUGCAUGAGAAACUAUGUCCCGCUGUCUUUUAUACCUUCAUUAGUUUUAGUUUGCCAAGAUUCAAAGCAGAGGGUCUCGCUGCUGUUGGACCAGUCUGGUAGAUUCUGAUUUGGAAUUUAAAAUAAAGUAGAACA